UACGUAGGUGGCAAGCGUUAUCCGGAAUUAUUGGGCAUAAAGCGCGCGUAGGCGGUUUUUUAAGUCUGAUGUGAAAGCCCACGGCUCAACCGUGGAGGGUCAUUGGAAACUGAAAAACUUGAGUGCAGAAGAGGAAAGUGGAAUUCCAUGUGUAGCGGUGAAAUGCGCAGAGAUAUGGAGGAACACCAGUGGCGAAGGCGACUUUCUGGUCUGUAACUGACGCUGAUGUGCGAAAGCGUGGGGAUCAAACAGGAUUAGAUACCCUGGCAGUCCACGCCGUAAACGAUGAGUGCUAAGUGUUAGGGGGUUUCCGCCCCUUAGUGCUGCAGCUAACGCAUUAAGCACUCCGCCUGGGGAGUACGGCCGCAAGGCUUAAACUCAAAGGAAUUGACGGGGACCCGCACAAGCGGUGGAGCAUGUGGUUUAAUUCGAAGCAACGCGAAGAACCUUACCAAAUCUUGACAUCCUUUGACCGCUCUAGAGAUAGAGUUUUCCCCUUCGGGGGACAAAGUGACAGGUGGUGCAUGGUUGUCGUCAGCUCGUGUCGUGAGAUGUUGGGUUAAGUCCCGCAACGAGCGCAACCCUUAAGCUUAGUUGCCAUCAUUUAGUUAGGCACUCUAAGUUGACUGCCGGUGACAAACCGGAGGAAGGUGGGGAUGACGUCAAAUCAUCAUGCCCCUUAUGAUUUGGGCUACACACGUGCUACAAUGGACAAUACAAAGGGCAGCGAAACCGCGAGGUCAAGCAAAUCCCAUAAAGUUGUUCUCAGUUCGGAUUGUAGUCUGCAACUCGACUACAUGAAGCUGGAAUCGCUAGUAAUCGUAGAUCAGCAUGCUACGGUGAAUACGUUCCCGGGUCU
RNAcentral lists this ribosomal RNA (859 nucleotides) under uncultured Staphylococcus sp. RNAcentral's name for it is "bacterial SSU rRNA". It matches the Rfam family "Bacterial small subunit ribosomal RNA", at positions 524 to 1381 of the family's 1533-position model. Lineage: Bacteria; Bacillati; Bacillota; Bacilli; Caryophanales; Staphylococcaceae. The record is from RNAcentral.